UACGAAGGGGGCUAGCGUUGUUCGGAAUUACUGGGCGUAAAGCGCACGUAGGCGGAUACCUAAGUUAGGGGUGAAAUCCCAGAGCUCAACUCUGGAACUGCCUUUAAUACUGGGUAUCUCGAGUCCGAGAGAGGUGAGUGGAAUUCCGAGUGUAGAGGUGAAAUUCGUAGAUAUUCGGAGGAACACCAGUGGCGAAGGCGGCUCACUGGCUCGGUACUGACGCUGAGGUGCGAAAGCGUGGGGAGCAAACAGG
RNAcentral lists this ribosomal RNA (253 nucleotides) under uncultured bacterium. Its description in RNAcentral is "partial 16S ribosomal RNA". It matches the Rfam family "Bacterial small subunit ribosomal RNA", at positions 524 to 776 of the family's 1533-position model. The record is from RNAcentral.